GAUGAACGCUGGCGGCGUGCCUAAUACAUGCAAGUCGAGCGAACAGACGAGGAGCUUGCUCCUCUGACGUUAGCGGCGGACGGGUGAGUAACACGUGGAUAACCUACCUAUAAGACUGGGAUAACUUCGGGAAACCGGGCUAAUACCGGAUAAUAUAUUGAACCGCAUGGUUCAAUAGUGAAAGACGGUUUUGCUGUCACUUAUAGAUGGAUCCGCGCCGCAUUAGCUAGUUGGUAAGGUAACGGCUUACCAAGGCAACGAUGCGUAGCCGACCUGAGAGGGUGAUCGGCCACACUGGAACUGAGACACGGUCCAGACUCCUACGGGAGGCAGCAGUAGGGAAUCUUCCGCAAUGGGCGAAAGCUUGACGGAGCAACGCCGCGUGAGUGAUGAAGGUCUUCGGAUCGUAAAACUCUGUUAUUAGGGAAGAACAAAUGUGUAAGUAACUAUGCACGUCUUGACGGUACCUAAUCAGAAAGCCACGGCUAACUACGUG
This 496-nucleotide ribosomal RNA is filed under the name uncultured bacterium. RNAcentral describes it as "partial 16S ribosomal RNA". It matches the Rfam family "Bacterial small subunit ribosomal RNA", at positions 28 to 507 of the family's 1533-position model. The record is from RNAcentral.